UAGCCGUAAACGAUACUCGCUAGGUGUCGGCCACGGUGCGACCGUUGUCGGUGCCGUAGGGAAGCCGUGAAGCGAGCCACCUGGGAAGUACGGCCGCAAGGCUGAAACUUAAAGGAAUUGGCGGGGGAGCACAACAACGGGUGGGGCUUGCGGUUUAAUUGGAUUCAACGCCGGAAAUCUUACCGGGACCGACAGCAACAUGAAGGCCAAAGCUGAAGACUUUGCCGGAUUAGCUGAGAGGUGGUGCAUGGCGUAGUCGUGU
Molecule: ribosomal RNA, 262 nt
Filed under: uncultured archaeon
Lineage: Archaea
Description: partial 16S ribosomal RNA
Rfam family: Archaeal small subunit ribosomal RNA
Source: RNAcentral